RNAcentral lists this ribosomal RNA (253 nucleotides) under uncultured bacterium. RNAcentral describes it as "partial 16S ribosomal RNA". It matches the Rfam family "Bacterial small subunit ribosomal RNA", at positions 524 to 776 of the family's 1533-position model. The record is from RNAcentral.
UACGGAGGGGGCUAGCGUUGCUCGGAAUCACUGGGCGUAAAGCGCACGUAGGCGGCUUGUUAAGUCAGGGGUGAAAUCCUGGAGCUCAACUCCAGAACUGCCUUUGAUACUGGCGAGCUUGAGUUCGGGAGAGGUGAGUGGAACUGCGAGUGUAGAGGUGAAAUUCGUAGAUAUUCGCAAGAACACCAGUGGCGAAGGCGGCUCACUGGCCCGAUACUGACGCUGAGGUGCGAAAGCGUGGGGAGCAAACAGG